UACGAAGGGGACUAGCGUUGUUCGGAAUCACUGGGCGUAAAGCGCACGUAGGCGGAUGUGUCAGUCAGGGGUGAAAUCCCGGGGCUCAACCUCGGAACUGCCUUUGAUACAGCACGUCUCGAGUCCGGAAGAGGUGGGUGGAAUUCCUAGUGUAGAGGUGAAAUUCGUAGAUAUUAGGAGGAACACCAGUGGCGAAGGCGGCUCACUGGUCCAUUACUGACGCUGAGGUGCGAAAGCGUGGGGAGCAAACAGG
This 253-nucleotide ribosomal RNA is filed under the name uncultured bacterium. Its description in RNAcentral is "partial 16S ribosomal RNA". It matches the Rfam family "Bacterial small subunit ribosomal RNA", at positions 524 to 776 of the family's 1533-position model. The record is from RNAcentral.